Molecule: long non-coding RNA, 557 nt
Filed under: Pongo abelii (Sumatran orangutan)
Lineage: Eukaryota; Metazoa; Chordata; Mammalia; Primates; Hominidae
Description: lincRNA
Source: RNAcentral
AGAAGCCAUCCAAAGGCACCUGCUUCUCACAGCACAGCAGCUUCUUGCAGCCCUCCCUCCUGUCUUGUUUCUCCCUUGGUUGAGAGGAGAGGCCAGAACCGGAUGCAGCCAGUUCCAACAGUAAUGAAUUGCUCUAAGGUGUGGAGCCAAGAACCGGUGACAAGGUCAGGAAAUUCCACCCUGGGGCACUGACCCAACUAAGAGACUGUGCAUGAUGGCUAAGUUCAGAGCUCUGAGGAGAUGGUAAAACUCAUUUGCAAUGAAACAAGCUAUUUCCCAACUCUGCAGCCAGAAACCAUCCUCCUGGCUGUCUCACCUCUCCAUGGAUCUGGAGUCUUCAGGAGCCAGGACUGGACUGGGAUGUGAGGCUGGGUCUUCCGAGCUGUAGAUGGGAGCAGGAAGAUGGAUCUCCACUCACAAUCUCAGCACAAGGCUCAGCUCUCUCCUGGCAACUCGCCCAUCAUCUGUUUCUGAGUUCUUCUGACAUACAGGUGGGUGUUUUCCAAACUGUGGAGCCAUGAAAUUGAUUUAGAGGGUCAUGACCCAGUAUUACAAGA